AGUAGGGUCAGCUAAUUAAGCUUUUGGGUCCAUACCCCGAACACGUUGGUUAAAAUCCUUCCCCCACUA
RNAcentral lists this transfer RNA (69 nucleotides) under Harriotta raleighana (Pacific longnose chimaera). Its description in RNAcentral is "tRNA-Met". It matches the Rfam family "tRNA". Rfam says of the family: Transfer RNA (tRNA) molecules are approximately 80 nucleotides in length. Their secondary structure includes four short double-helical elements and three loops (D, anti-codon, and T loops). The record is from RNAcentral. Lineage: Eukaryota; Metazoa; Chordata; Chondrichthyes; Chimaeriformes; Rhinochimaeridae.